CGGAAGCAACACAGGGAAACUUGUGCUAAUACCGGAUAAGCCCUUACGGGGAAAGAUUUAUCGCCGAAAGAUCGGCCCGCGUCUGAUUAGCUAUUUGGUGAGGUAACGGCUCACCAAGGCGACGAUCAGUAGCUGGUCUGAGAGGAUGAUCAGCCACAUUGGGACUGAGACACGGCCCAAACUCCUACGGGAGGCAGCGGUGGGGAAUAUUGGACAAUGGGCGCAAGCCUGAUCCAGCCAUGCCGCGUGAGUGAUGAACGCCCUANGGUUGUAAAGCUCUUUUGUGCGGGAAGAUAAUGACGGUACCGCAAGAAUAAGCCCCGGCUAACUUCGUGCCAGCAGCCGCGGUAAUACGAAGGGGGCUAGCGUUGCUCGGAAUCACUGGGCGUAAAGGGUGCGUAGGCGGGUCUUUAAGUCAGGGGUGAAAUCCUGG
RNAcentral lists this ribosomal RNA (433 nucleotides) under Bradyrhizobium sp. Gc140. Its description in RNAcentral is "bacterial SSU rRNA". It matches the Rfam family "Bacterial small subunit ribosomal RNA", at positions 139 to 605 of the family's 1533-position model. Lineage: Bacteria; Pseudomonadati; Pseudomonadota; Alphaproteobacteria; Hyphomicrobiales; Nitrobacteraceae. The record is from RNAcentral.